Molecule: ribosomal RNA, 331 nt
Filed under: uncultured eukaryote
Lineage: Eukaryota
Description: SSU rRNA
Rfam family: Eukaryotic small subunit ribosomal RNA
Source: RNAcentral
AGCUCCAAUAGCGUAUAUUAAAGUUGUUGCGGUUAAAAAGCUCGUAGUUGGAUUUCUGCCGAGGACGACGGGUCCGCCCUCUGGGUGAGUAUCGUCGCUCGUCCUGGGCAUCUUCUUGGAGAACGUAUCUGCACUUCAUUGUGUGGUGCGGUAUCCAGGACUUUUACUUUGAGGAAAUUAGAGUGUUUCAAGCAGGCUUACGCCGUGAAUACGUUAGCAUGGAAUAAUAAGAUAGGACUUCGGUUCUAUUUUGUUGGUUUCUAGAACUUGGAGUAAUGAUUAAUAGGGAUAGUUGGGGGCAUUCGUAUUUAACUGUCAGAGGUGAAAUUCU